AAUGCAGGGUUCAUACCUGUAGAUCUUUGUUUUCCUCACCUAUGAAUAAUGUUUGACAAGGGAAUGAGCAAAUAUGGAGACCACUGAAGAUCUUUGACUUGGAACUAAUCGGUUCAGAAGUAGCAUGAAAGAUGGUGACAUAAAAACCAGGCUGGGUUGUUCUUCACAAAGUCAUAGGAGUGGAGAGCACUCACUGUAAUGCAAGAAGGAUGAUGAACAAGCAGAAGGAGCUGUAAAUCUUAAUGCAAGUUCUUAGUUACCCAUAUCUGUUGCAAAUAAAAUAUAUUUCAGAGAGAGCUUGUUCAGCAAGUGCUUUGAAUGUAUUUCUGAUGGACUUUGGUAAAGUUAAUUAAGUUUAAGAAAAAACAAGAGUAUCUUCUCUAAGUGCAUUUUUGAAAUGGAAGAAGGAGAAGACUUGACCUUCAGCAAGGAAGUUUCAAUUUGAGCUGCAGAGACUCUGUCAUUUGGGCUGACUUCAUUGUCAAAUAUUCAUCAGGAAUGUCAGGAAUGUCUUGGGCAGGGAGAUGGGUGGACCAGGCUUCAAAAUGGAAUUAGUCUGCAAGAACAUGGUAGAAAGGCAAAAUAUAAUUGCUGAAGAGAGAAAUUGGCAAGGAGUUAAGACUUGUCUAUCAUUUGUCAUCUAUCAGUUGCAGAGGAGGAAUAAAUGACUCUUGUUAGACUCUGAGAUGGUUUGUAUUAAGACAGAGUUUAUUGUGUUUAAUGGCAUUUGAACCUUCCAUAAGACCAUAUGUUUCAGCCUUGUGUACUCUGUUUUAGAAAACAGUUGCAGAUGGAAUUUCCUAGAAAUAAAUGAUGCUGUGGGUUGAUUGAUACA
RNAcentral lists this long non-coding RNA (835 nucleotides) under Cyanistes caeruleus (blue tit). Its description in RNAcentral is "lncRNA (ENSCCEG00000006702.1)". The record is from RNAcentral. Lineage: Eukaryota; Metazoa; Chordata; Aves; Passeriformes; Paridae.